RNAcentral lists this long non-coding RNA (271 nucleotides) under Brachypodium distachyon (stiff brome). RNAcentral describes it as "long non-coding RNA (BDIS_LNC000792)". The record is from RNAcentral. Lineage: Eukaryota; Viridiplantae; Streptophyta; Magnoliopsida; Poales; Poaceae.
AGUUAUAUAGCCCUAAAGGCAUUUAUAGGGCAAAUGUAUUUUUAUAUAUUUUAUUUUGAGGGGAAAUUACUCCCAAAUGUUGAAUCAUGAUAGAAUAUGAUUUUACAAAUUUUCUGGAAUUUAUUUGGACCAAUUUGGAGUUCAAAAUCAAAAGAUAUCAAAGAAAUGAGAAAAAGGGAAAAAAAGGCUAAAAGGGAAAAAAGGGAGAAAACCGGCCCGGCCCGGCCAAAUGGGCCGAACCGGCCCAGUUCCGCGCGCCCGAACCGGACCG